Molecule: ribosomal RNA, 253 nt
Filed under: uncultured bacterium
Lineage: Bacteria
Description: partial 16S ribosomal RNA
Rfam family: Bacterial small subunit ribosomal RNA
Source: RNAcentral
UACGUAGGGUGCAAGCGUUAUCCGGAAUUAUUGGGCGUAAAGAGCUCGUAGGCGGUUUGUCGCGUCUGCUGUGAAAACCGGAGGCUCAACCUCCGGCCUGCAGUGGGUACGGGCAAACUAGAGUGCGGUAGGGGAGAUUGGAAUUCCUGGUGUAGCGGUGGAAUGCGCAGAUAUCAGGAGGAACACCGAUGGCGAAGGCAGCUCACUGGCCGUUAUCUGACGCUGAGGCGCGAAAGCGUGGGUAGCAAACAGG